This 215-nucleotide long non-coding RNA is filed under the name Capsicum annuum. Its description in RNAcentral is "long non-coding RNA (CANN_LNC018353)". The record is from RNAcentral. Lineage: Eukaryota; Viridiplantae; Streptophyta; Magnoliopsida; Solanales; Solanaceae.
UCUUCGGCUAAAUAAAUAGCUUGAAGAGUGUCCCAUAUCUCUUUAGCAUAUUUGCAUUUAACAUAAUAUUGAUCAUAAUAUUUGUUAGACAUUCCUCCAAGAAUAUAAUUCUUGCACAAAUAAUCAUCAUAUUGCCAUUUGGCAAUUUGUUCUUUAAUCAAAGUAGCCUCGUCAGAUGCUACCUCAGAACCAGGAGCAUUAGGGCAAGGUUCUUC